Xiphophorus hellerii (green swordtail) is the source of this 4626-nucleotide long non-coding RNA. RefSeq lists it as uncharacterized. The transcript has 3 exons. Lineage: Eukaryota; Metazoa; Chordata; Actinopteri; Cyprinodontiformes; Poeciliidae. The record is from RefSeq and is a predicted model, not a curated record.
GUUGGAUGGAUGGAUGAAGGAUGGAUGUCAUGUUUUUCUACAAGAAAUGUUCUCUCUCUCUCUCCAUCAAGAAGACAAUUCAACAGAAGCUGUGAUGUCAUCAGUUUUCAUCCGAACAGUGAUGACAUCACAGUUUUAAGGGGGAAAUCAUGUUUUAUUAAAACAGAAGUAAUGAACUCAAACACAGAUGAAAAUAUGCUGAUGAUAUCUAAAAGAGGUCAAUCAUUUUAGCUGCAGGUUCCAGGACUAAGAGAACUUGAUCAAUCUGUGACACAUGAAUCAUGAACAGCUUUUGGGUAUUGAUUAUUAUUUGGGGUCGUUGAUUCAGCUGAGCUCAACUCAUGACAUCACAAUUAAUCUGUUAAUGAUCACUUUUAUCGCCUGAAGAGCAUUUCUCAGUCUGGGAACUGAAAGUACAAAGACUGAACCACCAGGAAAAUGGAACAGCAGCAACGACUAAAUAUGUGUACAAUUACAGGUGAGUCACAUCCUGAGUAUGAAAGUUAGUGGUCUCCACCAUGAGCCAAGCAGGACCAAUUACAGGAGCUAAAGGAGCUAAAGGAGCUAAACUAGCUAACGGAGCUAACAGAACUUUCUUUGAUUAAAGGGGAAUAAAGUACAAAGUUUUACAAAAUGAUAAGUAAUAAUAAACCUAAAGAGAGAAAAGAAACAAGAGGAGCUGAAAGAACUGUAUCAACAAGAGUUCAAAGGUUGCAGAAGGGCAACUGUUGCUGGGCAACAAGGCAAUUGCAAUUCUGAAGCAGGAGCCAGUUUGGAGAAGCGGUCCAGAACCCGAUGAAUGGAAACUGUUUGGGUUUCUGAGGGGGAUCAUCAGAAUCCAUCUUCCAUCAAACAGCCUGCAUAUGAGAACCGCUGCUGGUAGAACCGGGUCGGGUUCUGCUGGAAGGUGAGCUGUCAGCAGGAAACAGGGAGACGUGGUGAGGUGGCAGAGAGCGGCAGCCAGACGAGCCCAGAAUAACUCGGGCCGGUCCAGGUUCAGGUUUAGACUAGGCCGCCCUGUAAUCAGCCGCCGCCGCCGCUCUCUCAUUUCCCUCAUAGAAACCAGGCGAGGGUCUCCGCCCGCAGGCCGCCUCACGGGGUUCCUCUGUCCUUAGCCCCCGUCUCCCUCUUUCCCUGUUUCCUUCCCUGUUUGAGCAGUUUGUGAGUUUUUCUGGAGAUUUAAAUCAGAUUUCAGAUGGGAGGUUCAGUUGUGACAGUGGGGGUUUCCUGGUCCCCCCCUCAGUCAAUGUUUGCUGCUCUGUAUCUUGCUAAGUUGGUGCGAACAUGACCUGCCGCUGCCUGCAGCGCAGCAGUUUCCAUCCAGCACAUCUGGAGCGGCUGGCGGUUAAAUCUGGAGCGAGUUUAUGAGGGCGAAGCCGCAGAGCUGCCGCUCCGCCUACAGUUGCUCUGAUAUCCACACAUCUGCUUCUGUCUCAGUGUGUUUAUGUGACGCCGCUGCUGAGACGGGAGGCCGCUGACUCUGCUGCAACAGCAAAACCAAAACAGGAGCGACAGAAAGUAGGAACCUGCUCUGGGUUGAUGAGUUGCUGUUGGUGUCUGUCUCAGAGAUCGGAGCUCUGAGACCUCCAGGUGUCCUAGCUCCCCCUAGUGAACCCUAGUGCCAUCUGGCGCCCCCUAGUGCCCCUAACAGUUUUUAGCGCUGCGUUGAGCCCCUCUAGCGCCCCCGGGGGGCCAGUGCUGCGCUGCAUGACCUCCGACGGGACUGACCUUGCUUGCGAUGGCCGUCAGGCGUGGUGCAGAGCCGGUUGCUAUGGUUACUGCUGUGACCUGAUUGUUAGAAAAAAACAAUGAGGGGAAACUUCAAAGAGGGCUGCUCAGUUGCCUAGCAACAAGGCAGGCCUGCUCCCCCACCAUGCUUCCCUGGUUUCAUCACUCCAUCCUGCCUCUCAUCUCUGCGUUUAUCCCGACCAUCAGAACCUUUCAGUACCAAGUGGACCGACCCGUUCAGCACAUCUCACCGUGCUGACGGUUCCUUCCUUGCCUUCUUCCACUGGUUCUGGUUCUGGUUCCAGAUUAGAACCUCCUCGUUUUCCUGUCUAUUCAGCAGCUGAUCCAGAGCUUCAGGGAAGGGCCUGACCUCUGACCCCCGCUCUGUUAGCCACUGUGUUAGCUGCAUGGUUAGUGGCUCUUUUAGCCUGUUAGCCGCUCUGUUAGCCACUGUGUUAGCUGCUCGGUUAGUGGCUCUUUUAGCCUGUUAGCUACUCUGUUAGCUACUGUGUUAGCUGCUUGUUUAGUGGCUGUUUUAGCCUGUUAUUCGCUCUUUUAGCCUGUUAGCCAUUCUGUUAGCUACUGUGUUAGCUGCUCGGUUAGUGGCUCUUUUAGCCUGUUAGCCAUUCUGUUAGCUACUGUGUUAGCUGCUCGGUUAGUGGCUCUUUUAGCCUGUUAGCCGCUCUGUUAGCUACUGUGUUAGCUGCUUGGUUGGUGGCUCUUUUAGCUUGUUAGCCGCUCUUUUAGCCUGUUAGCCGCUCUGUUAGUUACUGUGUUAGCUGGUUGGUUAGUGGCUCUUUUAGCCUGUUAGCUGCUGUUUUAGCCUGUUAGCCGCUGUUUUAGCCUGUUAGCCGCUCUGUUACCCACUGUGUUAGCUGCUCGGUUAGUGGCUCUUUUAGCCUGUUAGCUACUCUGUUAGCUACUGUGUUAGCUGCUUGUUUUGUGGCUGUUUUAGCCUGUUAUUCGCUCUUUUAGCCUGUUAGCCAUUCUGUUAGCUACUGUGUUAGCUGCUCGGUUAGUGGCUCUUUUAGCCUGUUGGCUACUCUGUUAGCUACUGUGUUAGCUGCUUGUUUUGUGGCUGUUUUAGCCUGUUAUUCGCUCUUUUAGCCUGUUAGCCGCUUUUUAGGUUUGUUAACCGCUCUGCUAGCUACUCUGUUAGCUGCUCGGUUAGUGGCUCUUUUGGCCUGUUAGCCGCUAUGUUAGCUACUGUGUUAGCUGCUCGGUUAGUGGCUCUUUUGGCCUGUUAGCCGCUAUGUUAGCUACUGUGUUAGCUGCUCGGUUAGUGGCUUUUGGAUGGAAUGAUUCAAUUUAUUACCUGAUUAUCUCUCCUGUUUGUUACACAUUUAUGAGGACAUGACAUCACAUUAGUUUCAGAUUUUCAUCAUGGAUCAAACUUUUUUCAGAAAUGUAAUCUCUGAUUCUGGACUCAGAUUUCCAAAAAUAUUUCAUGAUUUACAUCUCUCUUUUAUGCACACGCAAAACUCUGGUUCUUCUCUCCGGUUUCCGGUCCUACACUUCAUGCUUCUUUGCUUCCACCUGGUGGCCAGCUGAGGAACUGCGUGACUCACCUGCAGAAACCAGGCCCAAUAGUUCCACACACACCUGUGAGAUGAGCUCUGCUUUACCUGGGAGACCGCAUGGAGACACUUCCAUCCAUGGACUGCAACCGGACCAGAACCUCAGUCCUGGUCCUGGAGGGAACCGUCAAACAGUACGAGGACUGCAGGUCCGUGGAACCGACUGGGUCUGAGGUUCUGGGUGCUGGACCGGACGUCUACCUGGUUCCUGGGUUGGACCUGGGCGUGACCACGGAGGAGUAGGACAGUUCUGAUGUGGUCCGGUGCGGCUGCUUGGCCUUGUUGACCACAGCGUAGGUGUCAUUCAUGGCGGAUGAACUGUGGACAGACAGAAGACGGGUCAGAGACAAACUGACCGGGACAAAGACAGACUGGUGCCUUAGAGCUCCAACAUCAGGACAUAAACGCAGCAAAAAUGUUCUUUAGUUAGAGGAUCCGGGUUCAAUCACUGGUUCUGAAACUGACUUCAGUACCAUAAACUCCAGAAUAUAUUCAACCUGGAUCCACCAGCCAGUAACCAGUAACCAGUAACCGGUAACCGGUAACCAUCAUGGAGGAUCUGAUGGUUCAUCGUCUUCUGAUCAGAGAAUCUCCACCAGCUGAAUAUUUACGUUUCUACAGGAAGUUCAUCUGCUCUCCACUUCCUCAUCCAGCUGUGUGGUCGUCAUGGUUACGCUAAAUUUCCUCUUAAGGAAGACCUGCCUAAUUCCCUUUCUCCUCUCCAGCGCUCCUCGAUUCCUAACUCCAUCUUUUAUUUACCUUCCUCCUCCUCCUCCUCCUGUGCCUGGUUGCCACGGUAACAUGGCAACAUAUGGAGAUGGUGGGAUGGCGACGAACAGAGGAGUGGACCAGGACAGGAGAGCGUUCGGCUCCCUGGCUGCUCCUGGCUCGGUCCAGCAGGUCCAGAAUCCCGGUUGUCUCAUAGGGGACGUCGUGGUCCGGCCAGGACAGGUACUGGAACUGGACCAGCGAGUGGACGUCCUGCGGGAGAGGAAGAGGAGCGAGGAAGGUGUGACCUGAGCCGGGGGCCAGCAAGGUGAGCGCCUACCUGCUGGUAGCAGACCACCAGGGUUCGCACCACGACGUCCUGGUUGGGCCGCGACUCCACCUGCUGGACGUUCAGAGGAAUAACACGUCAAAUUCGGCCAGCAGGACGCGGAGGACGGAGAGGACCGGGCCGUUACCGUGGUGACGGUGAAAGGUCCAAACGCCGCAGACUGAUGAGGAGCUGCCCAGUAGCACUCACAUUUCCUCUGCAGAACCAGAACCAAACCUCUCUGUCUCAUGUUUUAUACACAUCAGCCGUAAAUGUCUCAACAGG